Molecule: ribosomal RNA, 510 nt
Filed under: Ainudrilus lutulentus
Lineage: Eukaryota; Metazoa; Annelida; Clitellata; Tubificida; Naididae
Description: partial 16S ribosomal RNA
Rfam family: Bacterial large subunit ribosomal RNA
Source: RNAcentral
AUUGCCUCUUGAUUCAUAAUAAGUGGUUAGUCCUGCCCAGUGAUAUAUUCAACGGCCGCGGUAUCUUGACCGUGCAAAGGUAGCAUAAUCAUUUGCCUAUUAAUUGUAGGCUAGCAUGAAUGGAUAAACGAAGUAAUAACUGUCUACAAAUAGCAACCUAAAAACUAAUCUCCUAGUGAAGAAGCUAGGAUAAAAUUACAGGACAAGAAGACCCUAUAGAGCUUUAUUUUUAUAUUAUAUUUUAAAUAAUAUAUAAUUUAGUUGGGGCGCCUAUGGAAAAAUCAUCCAGCAUAAAAUAGACACACAUGUCUAACUAAAGAUAUUUGUAAUAGCAAAAUUAAAGAAACUAGCUACCUUAGGGAUAACAGGCUAAUUUUUCUAAAGAGUUCAAAUUAACAGAAAAGAUUGGCACCUCGAUGUUGGCUUAGGGUAACUAUAAGAUGCAGCAGUCUUAAUAGUGGGUUUGUUCAACCCAUAAAACCCUACGUGAUCUGAGUUCAAACCCGAGAG